RNAcentral lists this long non-coding RNA (3230 nucleotides) under Sus scrofa (pig). RNAcentral describes it as "lncRNA (ENSSSCG00000055578.1)". The record is from RNAcentral. Lineage: Eukaryota; Metazoa; Chordata; Mammalia; Artiodactyla; Suidae.
UACAGCUGAAUGUGGGAACAUUUUUAAGAAACAAAAUUGUAAUGUUGGAGGUGUCCUUCAGGUCUCUGACAGCCAUAAACACUCUUGGGGGAGCAGAGGAAGCAGAGGAAAAGCUGGUUGCACCGCUUUGUGGUUCACAAGUCUUUAUAAAUAGUAGUGCCUUUCAGAGGGGAGAACGGGAGAUAAAGAAGUUCAUUGUAUUUAGAGUGAUAAUAUGGCAGCAUUUUUUUCUUUAUUUUAAAAUAUCUUUUAAAAGAAACCAUCUGAACAUAGGGUGAGCCCAGGAAUUCACGAGUUUCGACCUCAGCUAUUCCUGAUUCGUCCUUUCUUACAGAAAGUCUUUGUUUUUUCCACCCCAAAUGUCCCCAUUGUUAAAAUGGGAGUUGGGGAGAAGGAGGGAGGAAUUAAUCUCAUAGGAAUGUUGGGAAAAUAGCUUUGUUGGGAUGUCUAAAAAAUACUUUGAUUUUUUUUUUAAGUGCUAUACACUGCCAGUGCUAAAAGAUUUUAUUGAUAGUAACUUUGAACAUUCCAGGAUUUCGAUAUUCUUGUCUUUGGAUACCAUUUGCAAACUCAUGAAAUUAAAUGCUGUAAAUUGAUCUUCAUUGGAGGCACUAGGUGCUCUUUGUCUGAAUGUUAUUUGGUCUUGAUGCUUUAAAAGGUUGUCUAAAAAAAAGGUUAGGCGAGCUGAUGAAGUGUUUGUUGAUAAACUGUUUUCUCCAGUAUGCCCUAUGGCAGCGGAAGCAAAGAGUGAGAUGCCCUCCAAAGCAAUUGUGAUGACCUUCUCAAGCUUUAUGCUCUGGAAAAAUUGACAGAGGAGAAUCAAAACAUCCCCUUUCCUCACUGGGAGGGCAGAAGUAAGAAUAAAAUAUUUUCUGAUUUCACAAUUCAUUUCUUCAGAGUCUCACAGGCACCUGUUAUAAGAAGCAAAUUAAAUUCACAGGUGUAGAAAUGAAUUGGACUGCUGGCUUUUAGAAGGAAAACCUUGGGUCUUUUUUUUUUUUUUUUUUUUUCUUUUUCUUUUUAGAUUGCUAGGUGUUUCUGGAGUCACCUAUUUGCUUUCUGAUCGUCUAUAUGAUUUACUGCCCAGGAGUUAGUCAUUACCUUUUCCUUGCCUAUGUGGAAAAACAUGGAAAUUUAGAUUUGCGAGAAUAUGAGGGGCAAAUAUGUUAUACACUGGAUGGUGGUUAUUUCUGUGUAUUAACGAAACCUUCGUCCCAUGAGCUUGAUAAAGGAGAAAAUAUUUCAAACAUAAGAGUCUCUAUAGUGGGGCCAACUCACCACUUCCUCAUUCAGUUUUGAGGAAUGUGGGCCUUAUUUCUUUAUUUCCUGUGUAGCGUCUCUGUGGAGUCUUGGUUAGGCAAACAUAAUGUGGGAGCUUUCCAUGGAUUUAUUUGCAUUACGGUUUUUCUUAACUAUUUAAAAUCUAGGGAUUGUUUGGAAAUGAAUGACUAAACCCAGGGUAGGGUUAGGAAAGAUAAGGUUUACACAUACUCCGUUAAGAAAAGGGGAGCUACCGUCUUGAUACCUAUUUUCUAAAGACUAUAAGGCUCUGAGUUGUUUCAUUAAUUUUAGAGAGUUUAAAAGGGCUGAAAUUUGUGCAUAGUGUUAGAUGUUUCUACUAGAGAAUAUUAUUCACGUGAGAAAUCUAUACGAAAAGAGAACACAGAAAUAUCACAGGCCAUGUUUUCUCUAAAAAUCAUUUCUUCCUCAUUUUCCAUAUAUGUAGAAGUUAGAGGAGAGGAAAAAGCAAGUACUCUAAGAUGAAUUUUCCUCUUUAAUGGACAUGGAUGGAAAGCCUGAAAUUAUACUCAUAGGCUAUUGAGUUUCCUGUCAGCUUGUUGGCUGGGAGAUUCUAAAAUGGGGUCAGAUUUAGUUUUUAUUCAAAUGAUCGAGAUUAACUGUUUAUUCAGAUAACUUAUUUUGGAUGGUGAGGAUGACUGAGAAAAUGGAGGGUGUUGGAAAAGCGUGCAAAUAGAAAUUUUCAGAAUCUCAAUCCUGAAGCUUAAUUUAAGCAAGCAAAUUUCCUAGCCCAGGAAUAGCUAGUAUAAAAGUUCCAUCAAUGCCCUGACUUCUAUCAAGAAAUGAAUCCACAUCCUGUAGGCUUAACGGGGACUGUUACCUUGAUCUCAGACUGUGGUUAUGAAUUUGAAGUUAACGAAACAUACAUCUUCUCUUAUGAACUUAAGCCAUAUCUGUCCUCUCUGUGUUUGAUUUUUUUUGACCCUGGUGCUUUUACUUCUGUUUCUGCCAAACUUCAGCCUAGUCUAUGGGGAAGGUGAGUAAAACUAGUAGUUAAGACAAAUGUGAAGACUGUGAAAAAAAACUAGACAUAUUCUUCAGAAUGAGAUCCUAGUCAGAGCACAAUAGUGAUCAAAGUGCAAACUGUUGGAAAAUAUGGAUAUAUGUACAUCUGUACAUGUAUAUAGUGUAUAAUAUGUAUGUAUAUGUUAUGGCUCAUAUGCAGAAAUCUAUCCAUUUGAAGACAGUCCAGGUGGGUCAGUUUUUCUAUUAGAAAACCAUUGAGAGCCAUUCAAAACCAUUAGGGCUGAUGGGGAGAGUUAGAUUCUACUCAUUGGGGAAUUAUUUGCUGUAUUCUGAAGUCUACAAAGCUUGAAACAUAAUGUGGCCAUCAUUUAAGUUAUUCUGUUUACCUGGAGUCAGAAGAAUCUUUGUUUGAAUUAAUAAUUGUUGGUUUGCGAACUUCAUUGGCACCCCUUAGUUUUGAGUGACCCCUCCCCACCAAGUCUUUUGAGAGUGUGGGCUUCUCUGACCAUUCAGAUAAAGGGCCUUAUCUAUAAGUGGACAGGUUUCCCCAUAGGGACCAUUACACAUAUACAUAUAAGUACAUACUUCCAUAACGCUUGUAACAGUUGAUUUAAAAUCACUCCACAGUAUUGAUAAAUAGCUCUAUAUUUUCAAGGUGCAGAAGAAUUCCACAGCCUUAAUUAUUUCAGUGUCUUGCUGGUCUGCCUUAAGUGUAUCUUCUGGGUUUUUGGUUGUCUCAUUAUUUUUAAAUUUUUCUGCAGUUGUUCAUUUUGUAUGCACACAACGUCGUUUUGUAAAGGUAGGUUGUAAAUAUUUUAUUUGUAAGUCAAAAUCACUCAUGUGUAAUGUUGUAAAGUGAUGAUCUGCUGUCUUGUUAUUAUUACUACAGUAAAUGUUAUAAGUUAUGGAUGAAACUUCAAAAUGUACAUCUCACAAGUUAUGCAUUCCUAUAAAUAUACUAUACU